RNAcentral lists this unclassified non-coding RNA (423 nucleotides) under soil metagenome. RNAcentral describes it as "partial contains 5.8S ribosomal RNA, internal transcribed spacer 2, and large subunit ribosomal RNA". The stretch from base 1 to 120 matches the Rfam family "5.8S ribosomal RNA", at positions 35 to 154 of the family's 154-position model. The record is from RNAcentral.
GAUGAAGAACGUAGCGAAAUGCGAUAAGUAAUGUGAAUUGCAGAUUUCAGUGAAUCAUCGAAUCUUUGAACGCACCUUGCGCCUUGUGGUAUUCCACAAGGCAUGCCCGUUUGAGUAUCAUUAAAUCAUCAACUCUAAAACCUUUGUGGUUUUUUUAGAGCUUGGUCUUGAGGGUUUUGCAGGCUUUUUUUUUUUUCGAGUCUGCUCCCUUUAAAUGCAUUAGCGAGACUUCCCUAUGCUGAACCGUCUCUUUGACGUGAUAAUUAUCUGCGUCGAAUUUUGGUUCUCGUUGGGCUUGCUUCUAAUCGUCUGUUAAAGACAAAACGGAUUUGGGUGCAUAUAUGCGCCUUUUUCCAAAACCUUUUUUGAUCUCAAAUCGGGUAGGACUACCCGCUGAACUUAAGCAUAUCAAUAAACGGAGGA